ACAGGUGGCUGCAUGGCUGUCGGUCAGCUCGUGUCGUGAGAUGUUGGGUUAAGUCCGUAACGAACGCAACCCUGUCCUUAGUUACCAGCACGUUAUGGUGGGCACUCUAAGGAGACUGCCGGUGACAAACCGAGGAAGGUGGGGAUGACGUCAAGUCAUCAUGGCCCUUACGGCCUGGGCUACACACGUGCUACAAUGGUCGGUACAAAGGGUUGCCAAGCCGCGAGGUGGAGCUAAUCCCAUAAAACCGAUCGUAGUCCGGAUCGCAGUCUGCAACUCGACUGCGUGAAGUCGGAAUCGCUAGUAAUCGUGAAUCAGAAUGUCACGGUGAAUACGUUCCCGGGCCCU
Molecule: ribosomal RNA, 348 nt
Filed under: uncultured Pseudomonas sp.
Lineage: Bacteria; Pseudomonadati; Pseudomonadota; Gammaproteobacteria; Pseudomonadales; Pseudomonadaceae
Description: bacterial SSU rRNA
Rfam family: Bacterial small subunit ribosomal RNA
Source: RNAcentral